CUUCAACGACCCCAGCCACAACGGGCGAUCCCGGUCCUGGCCGUAGGUCGCGAGCACCGCCUGGGCUUC
This 69-nucleotide antisense RNA is filed under the name Labedaea rhizosphaerae. RNAcentral describes it as "Labedella sp. RS-49 ASpks TB sRNA". It matches the Rfam family "ASpks TB sRNA". The record is from Rfam by way of RNAcentral. Lineage: Bacteria; Bacillati; Actinomycetota; Actinomycetes; Pseudonocardiales; Pseudonocardiaceae.